GUGGGGAAUUUUGGACAAUGGGGGCAACCCUGAUCCAGCAAUGCCGCGUGGGUGAAGAAGGCCUUCGGGUUGUAAAGCCCUUUCGGUCGGGACGAAAUGGUCUGGGAUAACACCCUGGAUUGAUGACGGUACCGACAGAAGAAGCACCGGCUAACUACGUGCCAGCAGCCGCGGUAAUACGUAGGGUGCGAGCGUUAAUCGGAAUUACUGGGCGUAAAGCGUGCGCAGGCGGUUUCUUAAGACAGGUGUGAAAGCCCCGGGCUUAACCUGGGAAUGGCGCUUGUAACUGAGAGGCUGGAGUGUGGCAGAGGGGGGUGGAAUUCCAGGUGUAGCAGUGAAAUGCGUAGAGAUCUGGAGGAACACCGAUGGCGAAGGCAGCCCCCUGGGCUGACACUGACGCUCAUGCACGAAAGCGUGGGGAGCAAACAGGAUUAGAAACCCGGGUAGUCC
This 450-nucleotide ribosomal RNA is filed under the name uncultured bacterium. RNAcentral's name for it is "bacterial SSU rRNA". It matches the Rfam family "Bacterial small subunit ribosomal RNA", at positions 354 to 796 of the family's 1533-position model. The record is from RNAcentral.